Molecule: ribosomal RNA, 405 nt
Filed under: uncultured bacterium
Lineage: Bacteria
Description: partial 16S ribosomal RNA
Rfam family: Bacterial small subunit ribosomal RNA
Source: RNAcentral
AUUGAACGCUGGCGGCAGGCCUAACACAUGCAAGUCGAACGAGUGGCGGACGGGUGAGUAAUGUCUGGGAAACUGCCCGAUGGAGGGGGAUAACUACUGGAAACGGUGGCUAAUACCGCAUACUAUCGGAUGAACCCAUAUGGGAUUAGCUAGUAGGUGGGGUAAAGGCUCACCUAGGCGACGAUCUCUAGCUGGUCUGAGAGGAUGAUCAGCCAAAUGGGACUUGAGACAGGGCCCGGAUUCCUAGGGGAGGCAGCAGGGGGGAAUAUUGCAAAAGGGGCGAAAGCCUGAUGCACCCAUGCCGGGUGUAUGAAGAAGGCCUUAGGGUUGUAAAGUACUUUCAGCGGGGGGACGUUACCCGCAGAAGAAGCACCGGCUAACUCCGUGCAAGCGGCCGGGGUAAUA